UUCUUCCUAUAAUAUGUAACAAUUGCCCCCUCCAACCUGCAUCAAAUAGGAAAAUUCAGGUAAUAAAAGCGGUGCAGAAGAACAUAAUAGGUAAAAAAGGACAGAAUUUGUUAAGAAAAGAGGAGCAACUUCACAGGAUAGAAGAAAAGAUACUAAUAUAAGCAUGUACAUAGUUGUAGAGACUACAAUUGCAAUGUAGGAUUUUUUGUUGGGAUCUGUGGUCUUCUUCAAUUGAUGGAGACUCUCCUCAAAAUGAAAACCUGCUACAUGAGCAGAGCAAAAAGAGCAAUGGCAACCAUCAAUGCAAAGAUUUUAUGAGACAAAGAAAAGAAGUCAUUAACAAAAAUAUCAACUCUUGAUGAUAGUACUUCAGCAAAGUUUGAAUAGUUGGCAACUUCCUCUAUAAACUCAGAAAGAUUCCCAAGAAGGAUAUGAUUUGUUGAGGACUUCCAUCUUCAAUGCCACAUCACUAGAAAUACAUUGUAGGACAACAACUUUGUGUUGUAGAAGUGAUUUAGGAUAUCGGCAGCAAUCUCAGCAUCAAGAAGUUAUGAGUUAAAUUUCCUCCUCCAGUUGCUCACAAGUAUUACUUCGGCUCCACCUUAUAUUCAGGUGACAGCUUGCUUUGAUAUGCAGCCUGCAAACCAUCUUUUGAUGAUGAUCGAACUGAAGGGUAAAGUAUUUUCAAUAUAUGAACAGAACUUCGGUGGAAGUAGUUUGGCUAUAAUCUUAGGAGAACCAUACAACCUUAGUUUCUUUAACCAUACCGUUCCUUCAAUUGGGUUCAGAGGUCGACCCAUCUUCUCGUUUUGCCUCUCAACAAGAAGUUACCAUUUAAGCACCUUACGGAGCUCCAAUGGAAGAAGAGCCAACGUAUACUCUGC
Molecule: unclassified non-coding RNA, 884 nt
Filed under: Hevea brasiliensis (rubber tree)
Lineage: Eukaryota; Viridiplantae; Streptophyta; Magnoliopsida; Malpighiales; Euphorbiaceae
Source: RNAcentral